AUUGAACGCUGGCGGCAGGCCUAACACAUGCAAGUCGAGCGAGCGGCGGACGGGAGUGUAAUGUCUGGGAAUUGCCCAGUCGAGGGGGAUAACAGUUGGAAACGAUUGUUAAUACCGCAUACGAUUGGAUUGCCCAGGUGGGAUUAGCUAGUUGGUGGGGUAAUGGCUCACCAAGGCGACGAUCCCUCGCUGGUCGGAGGGGAUGAUCGGCAACACUGGAACGGAGAAACGGUCCAGACUCCUACGGGAGGCAGAAGGGGGGAACAUUGCACAAUGGGGGAAGUCCGGAGGCGGCCAUGCCGCGUGUGGAAAGAAGGCCUUCGGGUUGUAAAGCACGUUCAGCGAGGAGGCGUUACUCGAAGAAGAAGCACCGGCUAACUCCGUGCCAGCAGCCGCGGUAAUAC
RNAcentral lists this ribosomal RNA (404 nucleotides) under uncultured bacterium. RNAcentral describes it as "partial 16S ribosomal RNA". It matches the Rfam family "Bacterial small subunit ribosomal RNA", at positions 29 to 526 of the family's 1533-position model. The record is from RNAcentral.